RNAcentral lists this ribosomal RNA (462 nucleotides) under uncultured bacterium. RNAcentral's name for it is "bacterial SSU rRNA". It matches the Rfam family "Bacterial small subunit ribosomal RNA", at positions 28 to 507 of the family's 1533-position model. The record is from RNAcentral.
GACGAACGCUGGCGGCGUGCCUAACACAUGCAAGUCGAGCGAGUGGAGUUCUUCGGAACAAAGCUAGCGGCGGACGGGUGAGUAACACGUGGGCAACCUGCCUCAUAGAGGGGAAUAGCCUCCCGAAAGGGAGAUUAAUACCGCAUAAGAUUGUAGCUUCGCAUGAAGUAGCAAUUAAAGGAGCAAUCCGCUAUGAGAUGGGCCCGCGGCGCAUUAGCUAGUUGGUGAGGUAACGGCUCACCAAGGCGACGAUGCGUAGCCGACCUGAGAGGGUGAUCGGCCACAUUGGGACUGAGACACGGCCCAGACUCCUACGGGAGGCAGCAGUGGGGAAUAUUGCACAAUGGGGGAAACCCUGAUGCAGCAACGCCGCGUGAGUGAUGACGGCCUUCGGGUUGUAAAGCUCUGUCUUCAGGGACGAUAAUGACGGUACCUGAGGAGGAAGCCACGGCUAACUACGUG